GCCGAAAUAGCUCAGUUGGGAGAGCGUUAGACUGAAGAUCUAAAGGUCCUUGGAUCCAUCGCGGGUUUUGGCA
This 73-nucleotide transfer RNA is filed under the name Pelobates cultripes (western spadefoot toad). RNAcentral describes it as "tRNA.Phe". It matches the Rfam family "tRNA". From Rfam's summary of the family: Transfer RNA (tRNA) molecules are approximately 80 nucleotides in length. Their secondary structure includes four short double-helical elements and three loops (D, anti-codon, and T loops). The record is from RNAcentral. Lineage: Eukaryota; Metazoa; Chordata; Amphibia; Anura; Pelobatidae.